This is a long non-coding RNA of Rhincodon typus (whale shark), 4317 nucleotides long. RefSeq lists it as uncharacterized. Lineage: Eukaryota; Metazoa; Chordata; Chondrichthyes; Orectolobiformes; Rhincodontidae. The record is from RefSeq and is a predicted model, not a curated record. The transcript is spliced from 6 exons.
CAGGUUUAUUUGAAAUCACAAGCUUUUGGAGCAUUGCUCCUUCAUCAGGUGAAGUGAGAGAGGAGCAGACAGAACACAGAAUUUAUGGGCAAAGAGAUCAAGUGCAGAGAGAUCAAAAGACCAUACAAAUGGUGUGAGUGGAGUGCUGAAUAAUAAGUCCCUGCAGGUGAUUCAAAGUAUUAGAUGGUGAGAGUAAAGUAUCAACAGCUUAAAAACAAGCAAAGGGAUGACCUAUAACCUGAUAAGAUGAGGCAGAGAGAUAAUUACAAAAGAUUAAAAAUAAGGUGGUGCUGGAGACAAACUAAAUGACUGGAAUAACAUGAUAGAUAUAAGAGUCACAUGCCUUGGGUCUAUGCCAUGUUCUUUGCAGCCUUCAAAAUGUCAACGAUGACAACAAGCAUCUCACCAAGAUCAUCCCUACAUGUUUACUUUUCACCUUCAAACAACCGCCAAACCUUAAACAGACCAUUGCUCGCAGCAAUUACCCAGCCUCCAGGAGAACAUUGACCACAACACCACACAACCUUGCCACGCAACCUCUGCAAGACAUGUCCAAUCAUCGACAUGGACACUACCAUCACACGUAGGAACACCACCCUCCACGUACACAGCAGAUACUUAGGUGACUCAUCCAAUAUUGUCUAUCUCAUGUGCUGCAGGCAAGGAUGCCCUGAAACAUGGUAUAUUGGUGAGACCAUGCAGAUGCUACGAAAACAGGCGAAUGGACACCGCGCAACAAUCACCAGACAGAAAUGUUCGCUCCCAGUCAGAGAACACUUCAGCAGAACAUUCAGCCUCCAAUCUUUGGUUAAGUGUCCUCCAAGGUGGCCUUUGAGAUACACAACAAUGCAGAAUGGUCGAACAGAAACUGAUAACCAAGUUCCGUACUCAUGAAGACAGUGUCAACCAUGAUCUUGGAUUCAUAUCAUGCCACAUGUGACCCCACCCACUGUUCUGAUUCUCUAAAAUCUUCCUUACUGUCCUGUUUUGUCACUAUCACCUGGAUAAUUUUUUAUGAUCUCUUUACCUUAAUUAGUUUGUACAGUUUUGGAUUACUUAUUACUUUGGUUAGACCCUCAGCAUGCGACUCUUAUACCUACUAUGUUAUUCCAGUCAUUUGGUUUGCCUCCAGCACCACCUCAUAUUUAAUUUUUGCAAUUAUCUCUCUGCCUCAUUUAAUCAGGUUAUAGGUCAUCCCUUUGCUUGUUACUCAGCUGUUGGCACUUUACUCACACCAUCUAGUACUUCAGAUCACCUGUAGGAACUUAUUAUUCAACACUCUACUCACACCAUUUAUAUGGUCUUUUGGUCUCUCUGCCCUUGGUCUCUCUCUGCCUAUAAAUUGUGAUUUAUAGCUUGUGAUUUCAAUUAAACCUGUUGGACUAUAACCUGGUAUGGUGUGACUUCUGACUUGGAAAUAAGUUGCUGGGUCAGUGUCCUGGAAUUCCCUCCCUAAGGGCAUUCUGGGUCUAGCAACAGCACAUGGCCUGCAGCAGUUCAAGAAGGCAGCUCACUACCACCUUCUGAAGGGCUGUUGGGGGCUGACAAUAAAUGCUGGGCCAGUCAGCAAUGCCCAUGUCCCACAAAUGAAUAAAAACAAACAGCUUGCAGGGGCUCAAGAGGAAAGCCCAACAUUGCGUUUUCAAGGGUAACUGGGAAUCGGUAAUAAAUACUAUCCUAGCCAGCAACACUCACAAAUGAGAAACAAGUACAGAAGGACUUACUACCUUCAACAGGGAUUGGGGUCGCCAAUCAGGAAAUUGCACGCAGGAAUUCUGGAAUGGACCAUCUGAUUUGAUCCCUUUUUUGAGAAAUAAAUUCCCAGUUGCCCUUCUUGUAGGUGCAACUGAUCCUUUAUAUCAAAAUCUCACUUUUUUUUAAACAGGGUAAUUUUCCAAAUUUACACCAAUCAGCUUGUUGGUAAUUGUGGGCACAUUGUUUACUAAUUCUUGAUAUCUGCUGCCAACGAAACAGACUCCACAAAACACAAGCAUAAGUUCAUUCUGCCUUCCUUAUCAAAUAUCAAGAGGACAUUCACUUCUGUGCUGACAUGGAUAAACCAUAGACUUUCAAACUUGGUACAUUUUAAGAAGGAUGUUAACAGAGGAUGAAUGGUGAUAAUGAAAUUUAGACAGGAAGUUUCAAAGCUCGAGACUUUGGUGGCUGAAAGCACAACAGGCAUUGGUGAGGUGAGCAAAGUUGGAAAGGUACACAAAAGGAAUAAGAGUUCUGCGAUAUUGUAGAACUGAGAGAACUUACAGAGAUAGGGAGAGGCAACAUUGUGAAGCUCAAGGAAGUUUGAACCAGGGAAAUAGGGAUACAGCAGAUGCAACUGGUCUCAAUCUUGGUGACUGUCACAAACAUGUAAGUUUUGAUAUUAUAGGUUUUGUAAAAACCUGCAAACUCCUUAUAAAAUUGGCACAAAGAAGCUUUUUAAACAUGGCUACCAAAAGUCACUUCUCUUAUGGAUUCAACUGCGAUCAUCCAGUUGGUGGAACCAGACUGUGCUUAACUCAAAUAAGAUCAUAAAAGACAUUUGGGAUUCAGUGAGCCUCAGGCAACUCAAUUGAAUCCUCUAAAGAUUGAAAAAAGUCAUAUUUACUUUGAUAACGGCAAGGAGUUAGGAAGAUAGUUCAAAGGGAUUCCGGCUUGAUUGACUUCCUUGACUUUUCUUUGAAUCAAUGACUCAUUGGAAUAAUGUAGGAGCAGUUCUCAGUUUUGACUGUAUGAAAUCUGGCCAGCAAUCUUGAGGGGAGACCUCAGGAGAACCUGUGAAGUCAAUUCUAGGCCACAGCUCUCAGCUGAAGUAACUGUGAACAGCACAUGACAGUGAAGUUUUCUCUCUGACACCAGGAGUUACAGAAGAAGGAGCUGAGAAUUCAUUCCUAUAAAAGGAAUCCAGGCGUCACUCCGGCAGAACCAGUAAGGAAAAGGGAUUUUUUACUCUACCCACUGAGUCUGCCUACAAAAACAAACUUGGACUACUCAGCUACAAAAGCCAUCACAGCUGCUGAGCACGAUAUGUCAACCUCAAACCUUCUCUCCAGAAUAACAUGACUCAACAUCCCCAGCUGAAUAUAUUCAAAGGCUUCAGCCAAUGAAGGAGAAUUAAAGGUGAUGAAAAAUUAAGGUCUGUUCUGAAUCGUUCAGCACAGUGCCUUGUCUUGAUAAGGAGUGGAUGGUUGUCAUUCGAGCCAAUGCUGUCAUGGACAGACUCAUCUGCAAUAAUUACAUUGUAAUUGGCAGAUGGGACUUCAAUGGCAACGCUGUGCAGAGAGUUGAAGAAACAAACUGCCUGGAACCUGGUGAUAUUAUAAUAAGGAACAUAGUUAAUCAGAACCAACAUGGGAUCUGGGGAGUGAAGAGUGGGAUACUUCUUAUCCAUCCUCUUCUGGUACUGCAAUUCCGUUGAAGGACUGAUCACGAGAAGUAUUUUGGAAUGCUGGCAUACUCUCGUUGAAUUGAACUCCAGCCUUGGAGAGCCACCAGUUUUCAUCUGUAAGGUUUGCCUCUAAGUAUGACAUUGCAGUCGCUUCUGCUGGGUCUGAAACAGUGAUGUCGCUAUCUGCUGAUGGCGUCUGACAAGGAGAAUCCUCGCACUCCUCCUGGGUCAGCAAGCUUGGACAGAUCUCCCCAUCAUUGGCAGGGUGCUGUAUUAUGAACCGUGUCCUUUCUCGGAUGCCAAUCCCACAACUGUGGCUGCAGAGACCCCAGGGAGACCAGGCAGAGACUUCGCAGUCUAGAGGUGUACUAGCGAAUUCCUUUUCCUGGGAGUCUGAACAAUAACCAAAAUAAAAACAUUGUUAUUAUUUCAGUUCAACGUAAUUUUAUUCGGUCAUUACUGCUUAGUGCAUGAGUGAGCAUUUUGACUUCACUUCCCAAUAAAGUGCUAAUUUGUUGCCAAUGAAUGUUGAAGUAUUACCAUGCUAUACAGAAUCAUUACUCAAAUACCUAAUCCACAUAGCAUAGUUUAAUCUGGGUUGUUCAAUGCAUAAGACAAAUGUGCUCAAUUGGGAAUCCAGAUAAGCCACCUGGAUUUCUGUUUACCAAAUUUAAAAACAAGUAAUAGUCACUGCAGUCAAGUAUGUAAUCUCAGUAUUCAUUUGUAUAUUGUUUGCAUCUAAACUUUAACCUUUUUUGUAUAUGUGGAGAAAUUAAAAAUUCUGAUUUUUUUUUACUUGCUGUGAAUGCUUUCCAUCUUUGGUCACUGAAUGAUGACAGGUGCUCAUGUAAAGUUCACUUACUUGUAUUGUUUAAGUGUUUAAUUUUCUCCAAGAGUUUGUAAAGAAAUUAAAAAUGUUGCAUGAUGCUAAAACA